AAAUUAGUUUUUGAUACUGUUGAGUUCUAUAUUUUAUGUUUUAAUCCAUAUUACUAGUGUUCACUUAGAUAUUUUUUUUUUCGUCUUCUCUCUGUAUGAUUUCCAUAGUAUAUCUGUGUACAUUUAGUUAAAAUGAAGACUAAAACAGAACAUUCUUAUAUCAUAGAAGGAGUUUCUGGUAUGACAUAAUGAAAAUGUAUCAAAGAGAAUUGAAUUAUAAUUAUAUUUAGAAGUCAAAAUUUUAAAAUUAGACAGUAUAGUUCAGGGAAGUAGUUUUUUAGCACUGUCAGCUGCAAGGUUGAUCCUGUGAUCACUGUACUGGGUACUUUGGUCAUGCCUAACUUAGGAACAUGGAAAAUUAUGUCAGCCGAGGCAUUCUGCUCUUUCCCCUGCCAAAGCCAAAGGGAGUUCCAACUAAAUAUUAAGUCAAAGCAAAACUUGAUACAUGCUUAAUGAAAGUCUGUUUUGUUU
This 471-nucleotide long non-coding RNA is filed under the name Bos taurus (domestic cattle). Its description in RNAcentral is "long non-coding RNA NONBTAT025456". Lineage: Eukaryota; Metazoa; Chordata; Mammalia; Artiodactyla; Bovidae. The record is from RNAcentral.